CAAUAGCGUAUAUUAAAGUUGUUGCAGUUAAAAAGCUCGUAGUUGGAUUUCUGUGAGAGUGCCGGUGUCGGCUGAUGCUUGUACGCAGGCGCUCUUACAUCCUUCUGUUAACUGUUCUUGGCAUUUUAUUGCUGGUUCAGGGCUCAGAUAUUUUACCUUGAGAAAAUUAGAGUGUUUCAGGCAGGCUUAUGCCGGAAUACAUUAGCAUGGAAUAAUGGAACAGGACCUGUGCGUCUCUCGGGGCGCCGGUCUCCGUUAUUGGUUUCGGGGACUAAUGUAAUGAUUAAUAGGGAUAGUUGGGGGCAUUAGUAUUUAAUAGUCAGAGGUGAAAUUCUCGGAUUUGUUAAAGACUAACUUAUGCGAAANCANNNGCCAAGGAUGUUUUCAUNAG
This 391-nucleotide ribosomal RNA is filed under the name uncultured eukaryote. RNAcentral's name for it is "partial 18S ribosomal RNA". It matches the Rfam family "Eukaryotic small subunit ribosomal RNA", at positions 592 to 976 of the family's 1831-position model. The record is from RNAcentral.